Molecule: long non-coding RNA, 2375 nt
Organism: Strigops habroptila (Kakapo)
Lineage: Eukaryota; Metazoa; Chordata; Aves; Psittaciformes; Psittacidae
Source: Ensembl
GCUCCUCCCGCUUGGGGCCGGCCCGUCUCCACCGGCAACGCCGUAACACGCCGAGCGGGGCCGGAGGAUGGGCGGGCGGCUCCCGGGUCCUUCCGCGUUGCCGGCAGCCGGCCCGCUUGGGGGAAGGGUCGCUGUGUUUUAAUUUGCUGUUGUUCUACAUGCGAUGUAAUUAUCAUGCUAGGUCUGUUUGAAUAAUGGAUACACACAUCAAGAAAAUGGCACAGUUGUUGGACAAUGAUCAGGUUUUGGAAAAAGCUGGGUUGACCACAAAAUCCACUCUGCAGGGUGUUCAUCCACCAUGCCAAGAUUUUACUAUGUCACGUCCAGGACCAGAUAAUGGAUCGCUGGUCAUACAUAGCAGCAAGACAAAUGAUCUGCUGAGAGUACAAAUGAAGGAAAUACAGUCUGAAAAGGUGCAAACCUCUGAAGAGUGGCUAAGAAACUACAGUUUAGAAUCCUUGCAAUUAACAUUAGAGCAUCUGGUAGACGAAGGCAGUAUUGUUUUUGUUCCAGGAAUUCAAGAAAUGGUGUUGAAGAGAUAGAGUUUACAGAAGAGACUGUUACUGAUUUUGAGUCCAGACUUUCUGAGAGUGCCACUACUUCAGCAUACCUCACUGUGUCAAGUCAUGAAGGUACAGAAUCUUCCGAAGGUCCACCUUCAGUACUUGGGCCCUGAACCAUCCAAGCAAACUGUCUGCAGAUCUGGUUUAAAAAAGAAGUAGUUUUUGUGUUUUGAAAAAGCAAAACUGUUUUCCCCUUUAAAAUGUUGAUUUAAACUUUCUGUUUAAAUUGUAAAAACUAUGCAUGUGGUAUUAAAAAUCAGUUGGUUGAAGCAAAACAAUUUUAGAAGAAGCAAGCACUUUGUUUUACCUCAGGUUUUACCUAUUUUGAAAUGGAAAUUGUUGAAAGUUAUGCUGCAGUUAGUCUGGCACUUCAGUGAGUGUGCUGCCUUUCAAUCACAAGCUUAUAUUUCAUGAAUGUCUUAAGCAAUAGUGUAGGUUGUAUUAAAUACAUUUCCUGACAGUAACCUGUGUGUGCUGAACUAAACUCAGUUUUGCCUGAACUUCUGUUGUUCACACAUACACAUGGUAAAUACCCCACUCCCACCUCUGAACAGAAUAAGCCAGCAACUGAUUAGAAAACAUUCCAGUGUUCUGUUUUUUCAGACAGCCACAUAUUUAAUCAAACAACUUUAGGAGAAGUAGUAUUUAAAUGGUUAACCCUGCAACCAUCAGUUGUAUGAGAACACUGGCAACAGCAGUUUUAAAUGCUGCUUCUCACAGAUUUUGCAUCUGUGAGAAGAAGGAUGUGAUGAAGACAAAUGGUUGAUUGUAACAUUGAUGCACAAUGCAAGAGAUCGCCUUAGCUAAAUGUGUGCUAUGCCUUUUGUCAGAGUGAUUGAACUUUAUCAGCAGCGAAUUCAGUGGCUGUUGCAGGACAGCAGAAAGGUAACUUUAACUUUGCAGUAUGCUUUUAGAAUGGAACUGUAUAUGGCAUUAAAGAAUAAAUUAAUUUUUGAAUAUUAGUGAAGUGUGGCUUCCAUAGCUUGUGUAUUUUUGUUGUCUACUGUGAGUUACACAUCAUAGGCACUGCUACUUAUCUUGUCCAUGGAUUGUUUUCUUGAUCUUUCAUUGGUAUGUGGUCUUCAGCUUUCUAGAUCUAGUCUUUUGCUUUCUCAUAGCAGUCUUAGUCAUCAGAACCUCUCGCUGACAUUUAAACUGGAGUAGACAAUGCUGAGCUUAACCUCUGAGGGAAGUGCAGCUGUCUUGUAGUCCAUUGUGCCUUCUCUUGCACAGCUGGUUAAUUAAUCACUUACUGUACCUAGCAGGGCUAAUGCUCAGGAAUUGGAAAAGGAUAUGACUCCUUCUCAAAGGGGUGAGGGAAAGAAGUAGCAUUCCAAAAUCUGGCUUCCACAAAGCUGCUUGAUUUAACCUGAAGGAGACGCUGUAGACAAAGUUAUUUUUUAUCCUUUCAAGUAAUAAAUAGGUUGCUUGGCAAGGAAGUAAUACUGAUUCACUGGUAAGGAUAAACUGGGAGCCAGUUUUAAUUCUUCCUCGACUUUGUCAACUGUGUCAUCUUUAUGCUAAAACACUUAAUGUGCAAAUAAAUACCUAAUAUUUGAUUUUAAAAUGGUGGUGUACAGAAUAAACAGUUAAAUUAUUAAGCUGUAGAUAAGCUUAGUAUUUACAGUGACUUUUCUCUUUUAAGAUGUUUGGCCUUAUAAAAGGAACCAAAGUUGGACUUUUGGUUGAUGUGUCUCAUAUAAGCUAUGGACCUAGACUGCUGGAGUUUCAGAAGGAUCUUUUUGUAAGUCAUAAUAAAGCAGACUUUGGCAAUUAUAGCAUACUAAUUAAGCUUUUGUGUAACUACAAGCC